UAUUGUGGCCAAACAUCCUUGUCAAAUCCUGAUCUUGUCAUAUCUCAGAAGCUAAUUGGGGCUGGUUAGUAAUUGGAUGGGAGACUGCUGGGAAUACCAGGUGCCAAAGUGG
RNAcentral lists this ribosomal RNA (112 nucleotides) under Periophthalmus magnuspinnatus. Lineage: Eukaryota; Metazoa; Chordata; Actinopteri; Gobiiformes; Gobiidae. The record is from RNAcentral.